GACGGAAGGUGCAAGCGUUGCUCGGAAUCACUGGGCGUAAAGGGUGCGUAGGCGGCCGUGCAAGUCUGGCGUGAAAGCCCCGGGCUCAGCCCGGGAAGUGCGCUCGAAACUGCGCGGCUCGAGUGCCAGAGGGGAGAGUGGAAUUCCUGGUGUAGCGGUGAAAUGCGUAGAUAUCAGGAGGAAUACCGGUGGCGAAAGCGACUCUCUGGACGGCAACUGACGCUGAGGCACGAAAGCGUGGGGAGCAAACAGG
This 253-nucleotide ribosomal RNA is filed under the name uncultured bacterium. RNAcentral describes it as "partial 16S ribosomal RNA". It matches the Rfam family "Bacterial small subunit ribosomal RNA", at positions 524 to 776 of the family's 1533-position model. The record is from RNAcentral.